RNAcentral lists this ribosomal RNA (508 nucleotides) under uncultured bacterium. Its description in RNAcentral is "bacterial SSU rRNA". It matches the Rfam family "Bacterial small subunit ribosomal RNA", at positions 44 to 557 of the family's 1533-position model. The record is from RNAcentral.
GUGCUUACACAUGCAAGUCGAGCGGGGUUUAUCGGAUUAGCUUGCUAAACUGAUAAACCUAGCGGCGGACGGGUGAGUAACGCGUGAGCAAUCUGCCUCAUACAGGGGGAUAACAGGUGGAAACACCUGCUAAUACCGCAUAAGACUCCACUACCGCAUGGUAGAGAAGUCAAAGGGCUUACCGGUAUGAGAUGAGCUCGCGUCCCAUUAGCUAGUUGGUAGGGUAAAGGCCUACCAAGGCGACGAUGGGUAGCCGACCUGAGAGGGUGAUCGGCCACACUGGGACUGAGACACGGCCCAGACUCCUACGGGAGGCAGCAGUGGGGAAUAUUGCACAAUGGAGGGAACUCUGAUGCAGCAACGCCGCGUGAGUGAAGAAGGUUUUCGGAUCGUAAAACUCUGUCAUUGGGGAAGAAUAAAUGACGGUACCCAAUGAGGAAGCCCCGGCUAACUACUUGCCAGCAGCCGCGGUAAUACGUAUGGGGCGAGCGUUGUCCGGAAUUACUGG